CCCGGUGCACAUUUUCACCACGAACGCCGUCGGUGGACGCUGAUAAGGACUCGAGCUCGCCGUCUCCAGGGAGAACUCCUGGGGAAGCAGUAGCGGGAGCCGUCGAAGGCCCAAGCUGAGCAUUGUCACAUUCAUCGUCUGUAGCAGACUUAUGUGAUCAACGGACAGAGGCAGUAUUACGCGAUAUCCACUAUAUGAUCAACGGACAGAGGCAGUAUUACGCGAUAUCCAUCAUGUGAUCCAGGGACAGAGGCAGUAUUACGCGAUAUCCACUACGUGAUCCAGGGACAGAGGCAGUAUUACGCGAUAUCCACUAUGUAAUCAACG
Molecule: unclassified non-coding RNA, 327 nt
Filed under: Melitaea cinxia (Glanville fritillary)
Lineage: Eukaryota; Metazoa; Arthropoda; Insecta; Lepidoptera; Nymphalidae
Description: misc RNA ENSMCXG00005005096.1
Source: RNAcentral